This 1407-nucleotide ribosomal RNA is filed under the name Streptococcus gordonii. Its description in RNAcentral is "bacterial SSU rRNA". It matches the Rfam family "Bacterial small subunit ribosomal RNA". Lineage: Bacteria; Bacillati; Bacillota; Bacilli; Lactobacillales; Streptococcaceae. The record is from RNAcentral.
UGCAGUAGACGCACAGUUUAUACCGUAGCUUGCUACACCAUAAACUGUGAGUUGCGAACGGGUGAGUAACGCGUAGGUAACCUGCCUGGUAGCGGGGGAUAACUAUUGGAAACGAUAGCUAAUACCGCAUAAUAUUGAUUAUUGCAUGAUAAUUGAUUGAAAGGUGCUAUUGCAUCACUACCAGAUGGACCUGCGUUGUAUUAGCUAGUAGGUGAGGUAACGGCUCACCUAGGCGACGAUACAUAGCCGACCUGAGAGGGUGAUCGGCCACACUGGGACUGAGACACGGCCCAGACUCCUACGGGAGGCAGCAGUAGGGAAUCUUCGGCAAUGGACGAAAGUCUGACCGAGCAACGCCGCGUGAGUGAAGAAGGUUUUCGGAUCGUAAAGCUCUGUUGUAAGAGAAGAACGGGUGUGAGAGUGGAAAGUUCACACUGUGACGGUAUCUUACCAGAAAGGGACGGCUAACUACGUGCCAGCAGCCGCGGUAAUACGUAGGUCCCGAGCGUUGUCCGGAUUUAUUGGGCGUAAAGCGAGCGCAGGCGGUUAGAUAAGUCUGAAGUUAAAGGCUGUGGCUUAACCAUAGUACGCUUUGGAAACUGUUUAACUUGAGUGCAGAAGGGGAGAGUGGAAUUCCAUGUGUAGCGGUGAAAUGCGUAGAUAUAUGGAGGAACACCGGUGGCGAAAGCGGCUCUCUGGUCUGUAACUGACGCUGAGGCUCGAAAGCGUGGGGAGCGAACAGGAUUAGAUACCCUGGUAGUCCACGCCGUAAACGAUGAGUGCUAGGUGUUAGGCCCUUUCCGGGGCUUAGUGCCGCAGCUAACGCAUUAAGCACUCCGCCUGGGGAGUACGACCGCAAGGUUGAAACUCAAAGGAAUUGACGGGGGCCCGCACAAGCGGUGGAGCAUGUGGUUUAAUUCGAAGCAACGCGAAGAACCUUACCAGGUCUUGACAUCCCGAUGCCCGCUCUAGAGAUAGAGUUUUACUUCGGUACAUCGGUGACAGGUGGUGCAUGGUUGUCGUCAGCUCGUGUCGUGAGAUGUUGGGUUAAGUCCCGCAACGAGCGCAACCCUUAUUGUUAGUUGCCAUCAUUCAGUUGGGCACUCUAGCGAGACUGCCGGUAAUAAACCGGAGGAAGGUGGGGAUGACGUCAAAUCAUCAUGCCCCUUAUGACCUGGGCUACACACGUGCUACAAUGGCUGGUACAACGAGUCGCAAGUCGGUGACGGCAAGCUAAUCUCUUAAAGCCAGUCUCAGUUCGGAUUGUAGGCUGCAACUCGCCUACAUGAAGUCGGAAUCGCUAGUAAUCGCGGAUCAGCACGCCGCGGUGAAUACGUUCCCGGGCCUUGUACACACCGCCCGUCACACCACGAGAGUUUGUAACACCCGAAGUCGGUGAGGUAACCU